RNAcentral lists this long non-coding RNA (454 nucleotides) under Manihot esculenta (cassava). RNAcentral's name for it is "long non-coding RNA (MESC_LNC011245)". Lineage: Eukaryota; Viridiplantae; Streptophyta; Magnoliopsida; Malpighiales; Euphorbiaceae. The record is from RNAcentral.
AGCAAAAUAAGAAAAAAGGGAAAAUUAAAGGAAAUGAGAAAAAAGGAAGAAAAAAUAGAAAAAAGAAAGAAAAUGAGAGAAAGAUAGAGAAAAAAUGAAGAAAAAUAAAGAGAAAAUGAAGAUACACAAAAGAAUGUAAAAAAAAAAGGUUAGAGUAUAUAUAUGAGAGAAAAGAAAGUAAAUGAAUGAAUAAUGAAAGAAAAAGGAAGGGAAAUUGAUAGAAAGUGGAAGAGAAAAUGAAAGAAAAUGAAAGAAAAUAUAAGAAAAUGAAAGAAAAAAAUAUGAGAGAAAAUAAAACAAAAAUCAAGUGAUCAAAGAAAGAUCAAUGAUAAAAGAAAAUUGAAAGAAAUGAAAGAAAAUUGAAGAGAAAAUUGAAGGAAAUGAAGAAAAUGAAAAAAAAUUAGAGUUAAUAAUUAAGAAAAAAAAAAAGAUAAGGGAGAAAUGAAGAAAUGAG